AUGGAGUAUUCACACAUCAAAAUGACGAACCAGUAGUUGGAAACAAAAUCAGCGGCUGAACGGUAAAGUAAAACAGAGUGUAUCAGAAGGUGGUUUUGUCGGCUUGUCGGUCUCUGUAUCCAUCGCUCCCUUUUUCCAACAGAACAGAACUGAACUCUGCUGCAUGCAUAUCAGUCGGUGCUUUUUUCUCUCUUUUCUUUCCGUUUCGAAAAACAAACUGGAGUCGUCGUCGUCCUCGUUGCUAAGCGGAUGAUCACGCCAAUGACUCACUCUGCUGUCAGGUAAUGCCAGUACUCUAUUGGCGUGACCAGAACUAGCUAGCUUAUUCCCAACCAACCAACCAAACCAGUUUUUCAUUUCUUACUGCUCUGCAUC
RNAcentral lists this long non-coding RNA (375 nucleotides) under Linum usitatissimum (flax). RNAcentral describes it as "long non-coding RNA (LUSI_LNC004676)". Lineage: Eukaryota; Viridiplantae; Streptophyta; Magnoliopsida; Malpighiales; Linaceae. The record is from RNAcentral.